GACGAACGCUGGCGGCGUGCUUAACACAUGCAAGUCGAACGGUAAGGCCCUUCGGGGUACACGAGUGGCGAACGGGUGAGUAACACGUGGGUGAUCUGCCCUGCACUUCGGGAUAAGCCUGGGUAACUGGUCUAAUACCGGAUAGGACCACUGCCUGCAUGGGUGGUGGUGGAAAGCUUUUGCGGUGUGGGGUGGGGCCGCGGCCUGUCAGCUUGUUGGUGGGGUGAUGGCCUACCAAGGCGACGACGGGUGGUAGGCCUGAGAGGGUGACCGGCCACAGUGGGACUGAGAUACGGCCCAGACUGCUUCUGGAGGCAGCAGUGAGGAAUAUUUCACAAUGGGCGCAAGGCUGAUGCAGCGACGCCGCGUUAGGGAUGACGGCCUUCGGGUUGUAAACCUCUUUCGGCACCGACGAAGCGCAAGUGACGGUAGGUGCAGAAGAAGGACCGGCCAACUACGUGCCAGCAGCCGCCGUAA
This 477-nucleotide ribosomal RNA is filed under the name uncultured bacterium. RNAcentral describes it as "partial 16S ribosomal RNA". It matches the Rfam family "Bacterial small subunit ribosomal RNA", at positions 28 to 523 of the family's 1533-position model. The record is from RNAcentral.